AUUGAACGCUGGCGGCAGGCUUAACACAUGCAAGUCGAGCGGGGUGAUGGUGCUUGCACUAUCACUUAGCGGCGGACGGGUGAGUAAUGCUUAGGAAUCUGCCUAUUAGUGGGGGACAACAUCUCGAAAGGGAUGCUAAUACCGCAUACGUCCUACGGGAGAAAGCAGGGGAUCACUUGUGACCUUGCGCUAAUAGAUGAGCCUAAGUCGGAUUAGCUAGUUGGUGGGGUAAAGGCCUACCAAGGCGACGAUCUGUAGCGGGUCUGAGAGGAUGAUCCGCCACACUGGGACUGAGACAGGGCCCAGACUCCUACGGGAGGCAGCAGUGGGGAAUAUUGGACAAUGGGGGGAACCCUGAUCCAGCCAUGCCGCGUGUGUGAAGAAGGCCUUAUGGGUGUAAAGCACUUUAAGCGAGGAGGAGGCUCUUUUGGUUAAUACCCAAGAUGAGUGGACGUUACUCGCAGAAUAAGCACCGGCUAACUCUGUGCCAGCAGCCGCAGUAA
RNAcentral lists this ribosomal RNA (503 nucleotides) under uncultured bacterium. RNAcentral describes it as "partial 16S ribosomal RNA". It matches the Rfam family "Bacterial small subunit ribosomal RNA", at positions 30 to 523 of the family's 1533-position model. The record is from RNAcentral.